UACGAAGGGUGCAAGCGUUAUUCGGAAUCACUGGGCGUAAAGAGUGCGGAGACGGCAUUGUAAGUCAUUUGUUAAAGAGCCCGGCUUAACCGGGCAAAGGCGAGUGAUACUGCAAAGCUAGAGUACAGGAGAGAAAGGUAGAAUUCUCGGAGUAGCGGUAAAAUGCGUAGAUCUCGAGAGGAAUACCGGUUGCGAAGGCGGCCUUUUGGCCUGUAACAGACGUUUAAGCACGAAAGCGUGGGGAGCAAACAGGAUUAGAUACCCUGGUAGUCCACGCCGUAAACGAUGAUCACUAGAUGUGGGUGUUGCAUAGCAAUGCCUGUGUCGAAGCUAACGCGUUAAGUGAUCCGCCUGGGAAGUACGGUCGCAAGAUUAAA
This 377-nucleotide ribosomal RNA is filed under the name uncultured bacterium. Its description in RNAcentral is "bacterial SSU rRNA". It matches the Rfam family "Bacterial small subunit ribosomal RNA", at positions 524 to 898 of the family's 1533-position model. The record is from RNAcentral.